AUACGGAAGGUGCAAGCGUUACUCGGAAUCACUGGGCGUAAAGCGCAUGCAGGCGGUCUAAUAAGUUGGAAGUGAAAGCCUAUGGCUCAACCAUAGAACUGCUUCCAAAACUGUUAGACUAGAGUCUGGGAGGGGAAGAUGGAAUUAGUAGUGUAGGGGUAAAAUCCGUAGAGAUUACUAGGAAUACCAAAAGCGAAGGCGAUCUUCUGGAACAGUACUGACGCUGAGAUGCGAAAGCGUGGGGAGCAAACAGGAUUAGAUACCCUAGUAGUCC
Molecule: ribosomal RNA, 274 nt
Filed under: uncultured bacterium
Lineage: Bacteria
Description: partial 16S ribosomal RNA
Rfam family: Bacterial small subunit ribosomal RNA
Source: RNAcentral